AGAGUUUGAUCAUGGCUCAGGAUGAACGCUGGCGGCGUGCCUAAUACAUGCAAGUCGAGCGAACAGAUAAGGAGCUUGCUCCUUUGACGUUAGCGGCGGACGGGUGAGUAACACGUGGGUAACCUACCCAUAAGACUGGAAUAACUCCGGGAAACCGGGGCUAAUGCCGGAUAACAUUUAGAACUGCAUGGUUCUAAAGUGAAAGAUGGUUUUGCUAUCACUUAUAGAUGGACCCGCGCCGUAUUAGCUAGUUGGUAAGGUAACGGCUUACCAAGGCAACGAUACGUAGCCGACCUGAGAGGGUGAUCGGCCACACUGGAACUGAGACACGGUCCAGACUCCUACGGGAGGCAGCAGUAGGGAAUCUUCCGCAAUGGGCGAAAGCCUGACGGAGCAACGCCGCGUGAGUGAUGAAGGGCUUCGGAUCGUAGAACUCUGUUAUUAGGGAAGAACAAAUGUGUAAGUAACUAUGCACGUCUUGACGGUACCUAAUCAGAAAGCCACGGCUAACUACGUGCCAGCAGCCGCGGUAAUACGUAGGUGGCAAGCGUUAUCCGGAAUUAUUGGGCGUAAAGCGCGCGUAGGCGGUUUCUUAAGUCUGAUGUGAAAGCCCACGGCUCAACCGUGGAGGGUCAUUGGAAACUGGGAAACUUGAGUGCAGAAGAGGAAAGUGGAAUUCCAUGUGUAGCGGUGAAAUGCGCAGAGAUAUGGAGGAACACCAGUGGCGAAGGCGACUUUCUGGUCUGUAACUGACGCUGAUGUGCGAAAGCGUGGGGAUCAAACAGGAUUAGAUACCCUGGUAGUCC
This 806-nucleotide ribosomal RNA is filed under the name uncultured bacterium. RNAcentral describes it as "bacterial SSU rRNA". It matches the Rfam family "Bacterial small subunit ribosomal RNA", at positions 8 to 796 of the family's 1533-position model. The record is from RNAcentral.